Molecule: long non-coding RNA, 2025 nt
Filed under: Brachypodium distachyon (stiff brome)
Lineage: Eukaryota; Viridiplantae; Streptophyta; Magnoliopsida; Poales; Poaceae
Description: long non-coding RNA (BDIS_LNC003463)
Source: RNAcentral
GAAUGGCGAGGCUCUCGGCACGACGGCGUGGAAUUUAUGGGCGAGGAGAGUCGGUGCCGACAACACGUGUCUGAUUGCUUCCUGGAAUGGUGGAUUAAAAUUAGGUAAGUGGACAGUGUGGAAUCGGGAAACUUUAGUAAGUCGGUUGCUCAUCAGUUGGUAAAGGCGGUUGGAUUGGAGGCUACGGAACGGAAAAGGCACAUGUGGUGACUUGUUGGACGGUGACGCUGUUCACCACUUUGAUCCAAAGGUUCGUCGAUCGAGUAAGCAACGAAUCUAGGAAAACUUGGCCUGCGAGAUGGGGGCUGUGCCCCGCGCCUUGGGCCUUGGCCGCGAGGAAUGAAAUACACUCAACAAAAAGAAAAGAAAAGAAAAGAAAAGAAAAGAAAGAAAUACACUCGAUCAUAGCAUAGUAGGUACCGAUGCUUAGUAGUUAGAGAAAAGAGAAAAAAGUGCCGCCAUACUUGAUAAGUAUAUGACGACAUUUGCUUAUAAGAUCAUCCUACACACCCAAGAAAGAAAAUCCACUCCUCUCCUUUUAUAUCACGUCUCUCCUCCGCGGGUCCGAUAAUAUUCACUUUUUCCGGUGAUCAACCAAUACAUGUUUAAGUUUUUACGAAUUUGACUUGUGUGUUUCUUGCCUUAAUAUGUUUAAGAAAAUUUCUACUACUCGAUCAGAAGUAUUGAUAGGCACAUCAACGAGCACUAUCAUGAUUUGGUUAAUAUAGUAAAUCAGAUAAGGCAUCUCUAAUCAAAGAAUAAGCUAGAAGGUCAUGUUUAAAGUCGAGUAAAGAAUAAACAAAAAGUUGGUAAGCAAGUGUCUCGUGCUAACCAGCAUUUCCGUUUAUACUAAAUCAACGACACUUAUUGAAAAGGAGCAAAGAAGAAGAAAAAAGUUGGCGGGGAGUGUCUUGUGCUUCAACACUCGUUAUGAAUCGGAAGAAGUAGUAUUUUUGAGAAAUAAAUUAAAUACGGAGUAGUAUAACUGUGCAAGGAAACAUGAAAGGAAGAAAAACAAGAAGACCUUGAGAGCCGCCGAUGUAUCAUGUAUCGGUAUGUAGCAAAAUGUAUGGGUAAUCAGGUAGGAAGAGUUAUAGGUGAGCUCGAUGGAUCGAUGGAUCACCUCGUGUCAUCGUCGGCGCCGGUGGCGAGGUAGAAGCGCUGGAGGUCCGUCCUUAUUUCCGCGUUGAGGGUCCAGGUUCGUGUGCUCGCCAACGCCUUCCUCUGACCAAACAGGCCUUUCCUCUAGGCUUUCCAUUCGGAUGAAGCCAAUUCAACGAGUAGUAAAAUUAAAAGAAAGAAGUCCAUAUUUCAACCUAAAAUGUAUGUCUUGGGACGAAAAACCCACUGAAGUCAAAAACCGUUUAUUUUUAACCAUCAAAUCCACAAAACCAGACAAAUCAUCCCAUUAGACGGUUUUGAGACGAUUUUGCUGCUGAUUAUGAUUUUUGACCUCUCUUUUGACCUGCUGACGUGGCAGUUGCAGAUAUCGUGCCUUUCUUCUUCCUCUCCCCGUCCCUCUGUGUGCCCGAGCUCCCUUGUGGACGAGCCGCCUGCCUGCAGCCCCACUCGCCGCCGACCGCCGCCAGCCCGUGCUCGCGGUCCCUUCUGCUCGUGUCGCCCAUGCCCCUGGUUAAGCUCGAGUUGGAGCCGACUCCAUGGCCUCCAGCCGCCCCAAAUCACCCCUCUUUAUUUUGUAUUCCUUCCGCGCGCCAAUAUUCCAGCCGCCUCGAGCUGGAUCUGCGCGCGGCCCGGCCAUCCCACGGUGUGCCGUGUGCAAUUGCCCCAUUCGGAGGUUGGGUGGCUUGAUAGCUGCUGUGUUGGGUUCCAGCCUUCCAGUUGUUUUCUUGUGCAAAGGCAUGUUCACGAUAGGAACAGUUCGGUGAUUAUAAGCGUGUUAAGACAUUUUGCAGAUGUAUUGAUGUGUUCAGCUUGAAAACUGAGAUUUUGCAAGGAGUGUGCAAGUAAAAUGGCAUAAUAUAUGUACUGUACUUGAAUUAUCAUGCAAGAGAAGAUUUCAGUCAA